This 253-nucleotide ribosomal RNA is filed under the name uncultured bacterium. Its description in RNAcentral is "partial 16S ribosomal RNA". It matches the Rfam family "Bacterial small subunit ribosomal RNA", at positions 524 to 776 of the family's 1533-position model. The record is from RNAcentral.
UACGGAGGGUGCAAGCGUUAAUCGGAAUUACUGGGCGUAAAGCGUGCGCAGGCGGUUUGUUAAGUCCGUUGUGAAAGCCCCGAGCUCAACUUGGGAAUUGCAGUGGAUACUGGCAGGCUGGAGUACGGUAGAGGAAGGUGGAAUUCCCGGUGUAGCAGUGAAAUGCGUAGAUAUCGGGAGGAACACCUGUGGCGAAAGCGGCUCACUGGACCACAACUGACGCUGAGGCGCGAAAGCUAGGGGAGCAAACAGG